This 25-nucleotide small RNA is filed under the name Bombyx mori (domestic silkworm). RNAcentral's name for it is "ovarian small RNA-18901". Lineage: Eukaryota; Metazoa; Arthropoda; Insecta; Lepidoptera; Bombycidae. The record is from RNAcentral.
UAACGUCUUAACGAGUGCGUUGCUA